Molecule: ribosomal RNA, 492 nt
Filed under: uncultured bacterium
Lineage: Bacteria
Description: partial 16S ribosomal RNA
Rfam family: Bacterial small subunit ribosomal RNA
Source: RNAcentral
AGUGAACGCUGGCGGUAGGCCUAACACAUGCAAGUCGAACGGCAGCACAGUAAGAGCUUGCUCUUACGGGUGGCGAGUGGCGGACGGGUGAGGAAUACAUCGGAAUCUACUUUUUCGGGGGGGAUAACGUAGGGAAACUUACGCUAAUACCGCAUACGACCUACGGGUGAAAGCAGGGGAUCUUCGGACCUUGCGCGAUUGAAUGAGCCGAUGUCGGAUUAGCUAGUUGGCGGGGUAAAGGCCCACCAAGGCGACGAUCCGUUGCUGGUCUGAGUGGAUGGUCGGCCACACUGGAACUUGACCACGGUCCAGGCUCCUACGGGAGGCAGCAGUGGGGAAUAUUGGACAAUGGGCGCGAGUCUGAUCCAGCCGUACCGCGUGGGUGAAGAAGGCCUUCGGGUUGUAAAGCCCUUUUUUUGGGUAAGAACAGCAGCCGGUUAAUACCCCGCUGUUCUGACGGUACCCAAAGAAUAAGCACCGGCUAACUUCGUG